Molecule: ribosomal RNA, 808 nt
Filed under: uncultured Bacteroidota bacterium
Lineage: Bacteria; Pseudomonadati; Bacteroidota
Description: bacterial SSU rRNA
Rfam family: Bacterial small subunit ribosomal RNA
Source: RNAcentral
GGUAACAGAUGAAGAGCUUGCUCAGAUUGCUGACGACCGGCGCACGGGUGAGUAACACGUAUGCAACCUACCUUUUACAGAGGAAUAGCCCAGAGAAAUUUGGAUUAAUACCUCAUAAUAUUUUUAACUCGCAUGAGUUUUAAAUUAAAACUUCGGUGGUAAAAGAUGGGCAUGCGUUCUAUUAGUUUGUUGGUGAGGUAGCGGCUUACCAAGACUACGAUAGAUAGGGGUUCUGAGAGGAUAGUCCCCCACACUGGUACUGAGACACGGACCAGACUCCUACGGGAGGCAGCAGUGAGGAAUAUUGGUCAAUGGUCGAAAGACUGAACCAGCCAUGUCGCGUGAAGGAUGACGGCCCUAUGGGUUGUAAACUUCUUUUGUAUGGGAAGAAAAGCAGUUACGUGUAAUUGUCUGCCGGUACCAUACGAAUAAGGAUCGGCUAACUCCGUGCCAGCAGCCGCGGUAAUACGGAGGAUCCAAGCGUUAUCCGGAUUUAUUGGGUUUAAAGGGUGCGUAGGCGGCUCUAUAAGUCAGUAGUGAAAUCUCGAAGCUCAACUUCGAACGUGCUAUUGAAACUGUAGAGCUUGAGUACAGACGAGGCAGGCGGAAUGUGUUGUGUAGCGGUGAAAUGCUUAGAUAUAACACAGAACACCGAUAGCGAAGGCAGCUUGCCAGACUGUAACUGACGCUGAGGCACGAAAGCGUGGGGAGCGAACAGGAUUAGAUACCCUGGUAGUCCACGCCGUAAACGAUGAUUACUGGUUGUAGGCGAUACAUUGUCUGUGACUGAGCGAAAGUAUUAAGUAAU